GCAUGCCAUCAUAUCAACGUUAAUGCACCGUAUCCCAUCAGAACUCCAUUGUUAAGCACGCUUGGGCUAGAGUAGUACUGGGAUGGGUGACCUCCCAGGAAGUCCUAGUGAUGCACCCU
Non-coding RNA from Picea glauca (white spruce), 119 nucleotides. The record is from Rfam. Lineage: Eukaryota; Viridiplantae; Streptophyta; Pinopsida; Pinales; Pinaceae.